Molecule: ribosomal RNA, 253 nt
Filed under: uncultured bacterium
Lineage: Bacteria
Description: partial 16S ribosomal RNA
Rfam family: Bacterial small subunit ribosomal RNA
Source: RNAcentral
GACGGAGGAUGCAAGUGUUAUCCGGAAUCACUGGGCGUAAAGCGUCUGUAGGUGGUCAAAUAAGUCUACUGUUAAAUCUUGAGGCUCAACCUCAAAAUCGCAGUCGAAACUAUUAGACUAGAGUAUAGUAGGGGUAAAGGGAAUUUCCAGUGGAGCGGUGAAAUGCGUAGAGAUUGGAAAGAACACCGAUCGCGCAGGCACUUUACUGGGCUAUUACUAACACUGAGAGACGAAAGCUAGGGUAGCAAAUGGG